This 1550-nucleotide long non-coding RNA is filed under the name Arachis ipaensis. Its description in RNAcentral is "long non-coding RNA (AIPA_LNC001769)". The record is from RNAcentral. Lineage: Eukaryota; Viridiplantae; Streptophyta; Magnoliopsida; Fabales; Fabaceae.
AAAUACGUCUAUGGGCCUUUUGGCCCCCCACUGAUCCAAAAAAAUAAAACAUGUAUGCAUGUUACAUGAUAGGUCAUUAGGUUGUAAUUCGGAUAAGUAUGCCUAUACGAAUAUUUGAUAAUCCGAUGCAUUUGCUGGCAUCUCAGCAGAUCUAACAAAAUCAAUAUUGAAGAUUACAGUUGCCCCAUCUAAGCUGCCGCUCGUUUUACUUGCAAAGGUAUGAAUUAAUUUUAUCUCCCACUCCCUUAAUAAAUUGGAGAUUUUCUGAUUGUUAAUGUCAAACGCUUUGUUUCUUAUUCCUUCAAAUAACAAAUAUAACACAGCCUUUGGUUCCUUGAAGAAAUUAACUCUUAAAAUUAGCAGAAAUGGCCAUUGUGUCUGGAGAAACAUUUAGAAAGGAUCUUCUUGAUAGCAGCAGUUUUCUGAGAAACCCAAAACAGGUGUGCUAAAUCUUUUUAUCACAAGCAUGUUUAGGACCUAAAAAGGAACACAAAACAAGUCGUAAUUGUCAUAAGUUGAGCCACUCAAUAUCUUACAAUUCACAAGUAGCAAAGGAGACAAUCAAGUUUCAUAUCACCCAUAUGUACUACAUAAUUGUUAUGACCAACUUACUCUUGCAUACAGUUUUUUGGUGGUUUAUCCUUUCGGCCUCUAUAGUCCUAUGUUUCAAAUGAUUUUGUACCCAAAAGUCAGCUAAAUGUGGCAGUUCUACAGCCUAACAAAAUCAGUCAAUAAUCAAAAUAAUGCACAAAAUGCUAAGUAAUCGGGUUUUACCAGUUAAUGCAUAUGCCGUCAAGGAAUUCAUGCUUUUUAUUAACCAAUCUAGCUACUAGCUAAGUUCUCUUCAAAUUUAAGUGUGUUGGCUGCUGUUAAAAGCAUGUCCAUUCCUCCAUCUUUCUCCAAUUCUCGUCCUUGUUUCCAUCUCUUGCCAAGCUUAUACUUAGGUUUUGAAACAUCUUCGCCAGUUCUAAAAUUGAAAUUCUCAUAUGUCUUUUUAGCCCGGCGUAUUGCUUGGAUCCCUGCAUCGCAUUUUCUGCAGAACCAGUUGCCUUUUGGAAUGGUAGUCCGUUUAGGCUCCAUGCAAUCGAUGUGGUAUCCAUGGUCGCAACCAUCACAGAGAACAAUCUUGUGAUCAUCUCGAUCGACGAGGCAAACUCGACAUAAACAAGAAGGGCAGUACCAACAGUGAGCAUAUGACUGGACCUGCUUAGUGGACAAACACCUUACAUGAUAGUAUUUACUAGGGCAUGAAUUGUGACCGCAUAUCCGUACAUCUUCUCCAUCUACUUCCUCCCUACAAAUUUUGCAAUCAGGCAAGUUUCUUCUCCCUAUGGACACCUCGAUCCCAUCAUAUGUACAAUUUGAAUUUUCCUCCAAUUCAUUGUGUGUUUCAUCAUUUGUAGGAAUGCUCUCAUCACCAACAAUGUUGUUCAAGGACUUUGGGGCAUUCAACCUUCCACACACCACACAAUUAUCAUGUGGAGAUCUUAUUUCAAUAGCAGUACAAUUGGCACAGAACCAGCUUUUUUCAGGUAAUUCCUUCAAAGCCG